ACCGAACCGACUAAUGUUGAAAAAUUAGCGGAUGACUUGUGGCUGGGGGUGAAAGGCCAAUCAAACCGGGAGAUAGCUGGUUCUCCCCGAAAGCUAUUUAGGUAGCGCCUCGUGAAUUCAUCUCCGGGGGUAGAGCACUGUUUCGGCUAGGGGGUCAUCCCGACUUACCAACCCGAUGCAAACUGCGAAUACCGGAGAAUGUUAUCACGGGAGACACACGGCGGGUGCUAACGUUCGUCGUGAAGAGGGAAACAACCCAGACCGCCGGCUAAGGUCCCAAAGUCAUAAUUAAGUGGGAAACGAAGUGGGAAGGCUCAGACAGCCAGGAUGUUGGCUUAGAAGCAGCCAUCAUUUAAAGAAAGCGUAAUAGCUCACUGGUCGAGUCGGCCUGCGCGGAAGAUGUAACGGGGCUAAAUUAUGCACCGAAGCCGCGGCAGCGAUAUGUAAAUAUUGUUGGGUAGGGGAGCG
Molecule: ribosomal RNA, 468 nt
Filed under: Morganella morganii
Lineage: Bacteria; Pseudomonadati; Pseudomonadota; Gammaproteobacteria; Enterobacterales; Morganellaceae
Description: partial 23S ribosomal RNA
Rfam family: Bacterial large subunit ribosomal RNA
Source: RNAcentral